Molecule: long non-coding RNA, 883 nt
Organism: Aethina tumida (small hive beetle)
Lineage: Eukaryota; Metazoa; Arthropoda; Insecta; Coleoptera; Nitidulidae
Exons: 2
Source: RefSeq, a predicted model, not a curated record
CGAAGGAUUGGCAGCCGAGGUAGAACUACAAUAGCGGCACAUGAACAGUUACGAACCUGGCCAGAUACAGAAAUUCUAUAAGGUAUGAUGGAUAUAGAUUUAUUUAAUAAGAUUGAUGUGUGAAUGUGUGUAAAGGUCCCUGCUUAGUAGGCUGUUUAAGGUCCCUGUGUAUCAGGCUAUGUGUAAAGGUCCCUGCUUAGUAGGCUAUGAUUAAGGUCCCUGCUCGGCAGGCUAUUUUUAAGGUCCCUGCGUCGCAGGCUAUGUUUGAGGUCCCUACUUUGCAGGCUAUGUUUAAAGGUCCCUGCUCGGCAGGCUAUUUUUAAGGUCCCUGCUCUGCAGGCUUAGAUUGUUGUGUUCUGGGUCUGUGAGACAAGCGGGUAAUAGACCUGGUAGUGGUUGAACCGCCUCUGAGCUCCUGGCUAGAAUAUGGUAUCUUUUGAUAGCACUUGAGAGUCAUGGGUGUAACAGACCUGUUGAUGGUUGAGCCGCCUCUGAGCUUCUGGUGGUUGUUAACUGUGCCACAUAACAGUCUAUUUUGUUAAAUGAAAUAAGGUUUAGACUUAGUUCUUCGAAUAUAUUUUGAGCUUGUACUGCUGUUAUAAUGUUUACAGAUUACCGGUGUCAGGUGAAUCUUUGCAAAACUGUGGAAGGUGCGAGGACGCCCCACAUGUCAGGAAGGCCGUGUUAGCUUACGUCAUCACCUUCACCGAUGGACCGAUGCGACGUGCUCACAUCUAUUUAGACUAGUUUUGUUUCAUAAGCAAAUCUGAAGUAUUUGUUUACAUUUAAUAAUCGGGGCAGUUCUUAAGAAAGAACCAGACAGUCAAGCUUUAGAUGUCGAGGGUUAAACUACGUUUGUCGUAAUAAAGCGUAUUAUUGUGAA